This 324-nucleotide ribosomal RNA is filed under the name uncultured eukaryote. Its description in RNAcentral is "partial 18S ribosomal RNA". It matches the Rfam family "Eukaryotic small subunit ribosomal RNA", at positions 1470 to 1796 of the family's 1831-position model. The record is from RNAcentral.
CCCUUAGAUGUUCUGGGCGGCCCGCGCACUACAAUGGCGCUUUCAGCGAGUUCCUAUGUUGAAUUUUCCUUGGUAUUCUUGGAAGCGGCGUCUUGACUUGGGAUAGAUCCUUGUAAUUGUUGGUUUUGAACGAGGAAUUCCUUGUAAUCGCGGUUGAUCAGCUCGCGUUGAAUACGUCCCUGCCCUUUGUACACACCGCCCGUCGCUCCUACCGAUUGGAUGGUCCGGUGAAGCCUCGGGAUUGUGGUUCUUGCCGCUUUAUUGUGGCGUGACCGCGAGAACUUGUCUAAACCUUAUCAUCUAGAGGAAGGUGAAGUCGUAACA